UAUCUCUGUAGAGUCUGCAUAUCAAUAAGCGGAGGAAAAGAAACUAACUAAGGAUUCCCCUCAGUAACGGCGAGUGAAGCGGGAAGAGCUCAAAUUUGAAAUCUUCAAGGGUUUACCUUUACGAAUUGUAGUUUAAAGAAGUGUUUUCUGUUGGAGUUUUCGGUAAAAGUUCUUUGGAAUAGGACAUCAUAGAGGGUGAGAAUCCCGUAUUUGGACCAUUUCUUCCAGCUGUGUGAUACACUUUCAAGGAGUCGGAUUGUUUGGGAAUGCAGUCCAAAAUGGGUGGUAAAUUUCAUCUAAAGCUAAAUAUUGGCGAGAGACCGAUAGCGAACAAGUACCGUGAGGGAAAGAUGAAAAGAACUUUGAAAAGAGAGUUAAACAGUACGUGAAAUUGUCAAAAGGGAAGCGUUUGACACCAGUGUUGUUUUCUCGAAAAUCAAUUAAAAAUGGCCGGAUUUUGUGUUGUAUUGACUUUAUCAGCUUUCUGCACUUUUUUCUUGUCUUUUUUAAUGCACUUUUCGUUUAACAAGUCAACAUCAAUUUCUUUUGUUGUAAAAGAGUCAUUGGAAGGUGGCUUUCACUUCGGUGAAAGUGUUUAUAGCCUUUGACUUCUGCAAUCGGAGAGAUUGAGGUCUGCAGCGUAGAUCCUUCGGGGUUAGAUACAUUUGUGCUAAGUUAUAGUUUUUCAUAGACAACAUGUUGACUAUGAUUAAUCAUGUAGCUUACUCGCUUAUGCUAUUUUACCUACGCUUAGGAUGUUGACGCAUGAGAUAUACGC
Molecule: ribosomal RNA, 778 nt
Filed under: uncultured Neocallimastigales
Lineage: Eukaryota; Fungi; Neocallimastigomycota; Neocallimastigomycetes; Neocallimastigales
Description: partial large subunit ribosomal RNA
Rfam family: Eukaryotic large subunit ribosomal RNA
Source: RNAcentral